This 415-nucleotide ribosomal RNA is filed under the name uncultured Bacillota bacterium. RNAcentral describes it as "bacterial SSU rRNA". It matches the Rfam family "Bacterial small subunit ribosomal RNA", at positions 370 to 779 of the family's 1533-position model. The record is from RNAcentral. Lineage: Bacteria; Bacillati; Bacillota.
AAUGGACGAAAGUCUGACGGAGCAACGCCGCGUGAGUGAUGAAGGCUUUCGGGUCGUAAAACUCUGUUGUUAGGGAAGAAAAGUACGAGAGUAACUGCUCGUACCUUGACGGUACCUAACCAGAAAGCCACGGCUAACUACGUGCCAGCAGCCGCGGUAAUACGUAGGUGGCAAGCGUUAUCCGGAAUUAUUGGGCGUAAAGCGCGCGCAGGCGGUUUCUUAAGUCUGAUGUGAAAGCCCACGGCUCAACCGUGGAGGGCAUUGGAAACUGGGGAACCUGAGUGCAGAAGAGAAAAGCGGAAUUCCACGUGUAGCGGUGAAAUGCGUAGAGAUGUGGAGGAACACCAGUGGCGAAGGCGGCUUUUUGGUCUGUAACUGACGCUGAGGCGCGAAAGCGUGGGGAGCAAACAGGAUU